UAAAAGAUAAGCUAAAAUUAAGCUAAUGGGUUCAUAUCUCAUUUAUGGAUUUAAAUUUUCCUCUUUUUA
This 69-nucleotide transfer RNA is filed under the name Auritibicen japonicus. RNAcentral describes it as "tRNA-Met". Lineage: Eukaryota; Metazoa; Arthropoda; Insecta; Hemiptera; Cicadidae. The record is from RNAcentral.